This 403-nucleotide ribosomal RNA is filed under the name Verrucomicrobiota bacterium. RNAcentral describes it as "Verrucomicrobia bacterium partial 16S ribosomal RNA". It matches the Rfam family "Bacterial small subunit ribosomal RNA", at positions 355 to 776 of the family's 1533-position model. Lineage: Bacteria; Pseudomonadati; Verrucomicrobiota. The record is from RNAcentral.
UGGGGAAUAUUGCACAAUGAGGGAAACCCUGAUGCAGCGACGCCGCGUGAGCGAAGAAGGCUUUCGAGUCGUAAAGCUCUGUCCUAUGAGAAGAUAAUGACGGUAUCAUAGGAGGAAGCCCUGGCUAAAUACGUGCCAGCAGCCGCGGUAAUACGUAUGGGGCGAGCGUUGUCCGGAAUUAUUGGGCGUAAAGGGUACGUAGGCGGUUUUUUAAGUCAGGUGUCAAAGCGUGGAGCUUAACUCCAUUAAGCACUUGAAACUGAAAGACUUGAGUGAAGGAGAGGAAAGUGGAAUUCCUAGUGUAGCGGUGAAAUGCGUAGAUAUUAGGAGGAAUACCGGUGGCGAAGGCGACUUUCUGGACUUUUACUGACGCUCAGGUACGAAAGCGUGGGGAGCAAACAGG